RNAcentral lists this transfer RNA (78 nucleotides) under Mahella australiensis 50-1 BON. RNAcentral's name for it is "tRNA-Asp (GTC) (tRNA-Asp-GTC-1-1)". It matches the Rfam family "tRNA". Rfam says of the family: Transfer RNA (tRNA) molecules are approximately 80 nucleotides in length. Their secondary structure includes four short double-helical elements and three loops (D, anti-codon, and T loops). The record is from RNAcentral. Lineage: Bacteria; Bacillati; Bacillota; Clostridia; Mahellales; Mahellaceae.
GGCCCAGUAGCUCAGUCGGUUUAGAGCGCUAGCCUGUCACGCUAGAGGUCGAGGGUUCGAGCCCCUUCUGGGUCGCCA